UAGCUCAGCUGGUAGAGCAACUGACUUGUAAUCAGUAGGUCCCGGGUUCGACUCCUG
Molecule: transfer RNA, 57 nt
Filed under: Pseudomonas sp. ATCC 13867
Lineage: Bacteria; Pseudomonadati; Pseudomonadota; Gammaproteobacteria; Pseudomonadales; Pseudomonadaceae
Description: tRNA-Thr
Rfam family: tRNA
About the family: Transfer RNA (tRNA) molecules are approximately 80 nucleotides in length. Their secondary structure includes four short double-helical elements and three loops (D, anti-codon, and T loops). Further hydrogen bonds mediate the characteristic L-shaped molecular structure. tRNAs have two regions of fundamental functional importance: the anti-codon, which is responsible for specific mRNA codon recognition, and the 3' end, to which the tRNAs corresponding amino acid is attached (by aminoacyl-tRNA synthetases). tRNAs cope with the degeneracy of the genetic code in two manners: having more than one tRNA (with a specific anti-codon) for a particular amino acid; and 'wobble' base-pairing, i.e. permitting non-standard base-pairing at the 3rd anti-codon position.
Source: RNAcentral